Molecule: ribosomal RNA, 383 nt
Filed under: uncultured bacterium
Lineage: Bacteria
Description: bacterial SSU rRNA
Rfam family: Bacterial small subunit ribosomal RNA
Source: RNAcentral
GACGAACGCUGGCGGCGCGCUUAACACAUGCAAGUCGAGCGAGAACCAGGGCUUCGGCUCUGGGGACAGCGGCGAACGGGUGAGUAACACGUGAGUAAUCUGCCCUCGACACUGGGAUAGCCCGGGGAAACCCGGAUUAAUACCGGAUAGCCUUUCGAGCUCUCGGGCUCGUCAGAAAAGGAUGGCUUCGGCUUUCGGUUGAGGAUGAGCUUGCGGCGGAUUAGCUUGUUGGUGAGGAACGGCUCACCAAGGCGACAAUCCGUAGCUGGUCUGAGAGGACGAUCAGCCACACUGGGACUGAGACACGGCCCAGACUCCUACGGGAGGCAGCAGUGGGGAAUCUUGCGCAAUGAGCGAAAGCUUGACGCAGCGACGCCGCGUGA